This is a non-coding RNA of Peromyscus maniculatus bairdii (prairie deer mouse), 246 nucleotides long. The record is from RefSeq and is a predicted model, not a curated record. NCBI's taxonomy places the organism in Eukaryota, Metazoa, Chordata, Mammalia, Rodentia, Cricetidae.
GUUCCGAAGAGGAGCUGCUCGUGGGUUAGAGGCCUUGCUUACAGAGCCUCAGCAAAACAUUGAAGCUGUCAUCCCUGAUGAGGAAGUGAUCAGGUGGUCAGAGUUUUUCAUGGUAUUUAAGCAACCUGUUUUAAUUUUUAUCACAGAAAAACAUGGGAAUUACUUUGCUUAUGUACGAUUGUGCAAAUCACACAGCUUGAGCAAAUACACACUCUUAUUUGGAAAAGAAGAAAAAUCUGUUAAACC